UACGGGGGGAGCAAGCGUUGUUCGGAUUUACUGGGCGUAAAGGGCGCGUAGGCGGCGUGACAAGUCACUUGUGAAAUCUCCGGGCUUAACCCGGAGCGGCCAAGUGAUACUGUCGUGCUAGAGUGCGGAAGGGGCUACUGGAAUUCUCGGUGUAGCGGUGAAAUGCGUAGAUAUCGAGAGGAACACCUGCGGCGAAGGCGGGUAGCUGGGCCGACACUGACGCUGAUGCGCGAAAGCCAGGGGAGCGAACGGG
RNAcentral lists this ribosomal RNA (253 nucleotides) under uncultured bacterium. RNAcentral's name for it is "partial 16S ribosomal RNA". It matches the Rfam family "Bacterial small subunit ribosomal RNA", at positions 524 to 776 of the family's 1533-position model. The record is from RNAcentral.